UGACUUCUGAGAUGAACCGAAUCGAGGUUUAGGGUUUGGAAAAAAAAAACUAUCAAUUAUCGCCCGCCGAGUUCUCUGCGUUACUCCACUCAGAUCAAAUGGCUUCGAGCAAUUCCCCAUCUGCCCAUGAGAAAGAACAGAUAUUUGGGAUGGCAGAGAAAGAGAUGGAAUACAGGGUGGAUUUGUUCAACAAGCUUACGCACACGUGUUUCAACAAGUGCAUUGAGAACAAGUACAAGGAAUCUGAGUUAAACAUGGGUGAAAACAGUUACAUUGACCGUUGUGUGUCAAAAUAUUGGCAGGUGA
Olea europaea var. sylvestris is the source of this 306-nucleotide long non-coding RNA. RefSeq lists it as uncharacterized. The transcript has 4 exons. The record is from RefSeq and is a predicted model, not a curated record. Lineage: Eukaryota; Viridiplantae; Streptophyta; Magnoliopsida; Lamiales; Oleaceae.